GAUGAACGCUGGCGGCGUGCCUAAUACAUGCAAGUCGAGCGAACAGAUGAGGAGCUUGCUCCUCUGACGUUAGCGGCGGACGGGUGAGUAACACGUGGAUAACCUACCUAUAAUACUGGGAUAACUUCGGGAAACCGGAGCUAAUACCGGAUAAUAUAUUGAACCGCAUGGUUCAAUAGUGAAAGACGGUUUUGCUGUCACUUAUAGAUGGAUCCGCGCCGCAUUAGCUAGUUGGUAAGGUAACGGCUUACCAAGGCAACGAUGCGUAUCCGACCUGAGAGGGUGAUCGGCCACACUGGAACUGAGACACGGUCCAGACUCCUACGGGAGGCAGCAGUAGGGAAUCUUCCGCAAAGGGCGAAAGCCUGACGGAGCAACGCCGCGUGAGUGAUGAAGGUCUUCGGAUCGUAAAACUCUGUUAUUAGGGAAGAACAAAUGUGUAAGUAACUAUGCACGUCUUGACGGUACCUAAUCAGAAAGCCACGGCUAACUACGUG
Molecule: ribosomal RNA, 497 nt
Filed under: uncultured bacterium
Lineage: Bacteria
Description: partial 16S ribosomal RNA
Rfam family: Bacterial small subunit ribosomal RNA
Source: RNAcentral